RNAcentral lists this ribosomal RNA (307 nucleotides) under uncultured bacterium. Its description in RNAcentral is "bacterial SSU rRNA". It matches the Rfam family "Bacterial small subunit ribosomal RNA", at positions 28 to 334 of the family's 1533-position model. The record is from RNAcentral.
GACGAACGCUGGCGGCGUGCCUAACACAUGCAAGUCGAACGAAGUAUGUUUUUCGGAAUAUACUUAGUGGCGGACGGGUGAGUAACGCGUGAACAAUCUGCCCUGUACAGAGGAAUAGCCUCGGGAAACCGGGAUUAAAACCGCAUAAAACUAUAGUAUCGCAUGAUACAUUAGUCAAAUUGAUUAAGAGGUAUAGGAUGAGUUCGCGUCUGAUUAGCUAGUUGGUGGGGUAAAGGCCUACCAAGGCGACGAUCAGUAGCCGGCCUGAGAGGGUGAACGGCCACACUGGAACUGAGACACGGUCCAG